UACGUAGGGUGCAAGCGUUAAUCGGAAUUACUGGGCGUAAAGCGUGCGCGGGCGGUUUUGUAAGUCUGUCGUGAAAUCCCCGGGCUCAACCUGGGAAUGGCGAUGGAGACUGCAAGGCUGGAAUCUGGCAGAGGGGGGUAGAAUUCCACGUGUAGCAGUGAAAUGCGUAGAGAUGUGGAGGAACACCGAUGGCGAAGGCAGCCCCCUGGGCUAAGAUUGACGCUCAUGCACGAAAGCGUGGGGAGCAAACAGG
This 253-nucleotide ribosomal RNA is filed under the name uncultured bacterium. RNAcentral describes it as "partial 16S ribosomal RNA". It matches the Rfam family "Bacterial small subunit ribosomal RNA", at positions 524 to 776 of the family's 1533-position model. The record is from RNAcentral.